GGAGAUUUUGUUUAUUAGUCCUGCACUGAUGUAUUAAACUUAAGACUAACUUGAGUGUGAGAAAAUAUUUUUGAGGUUUUCUCAAAAUUAAUUUUUCUCCUCUGGAUUCUUGAGAUAAUCUGAUGGUUUGAUUAAACAAGCUGAUGAGCUCAUACUUCCACUUAUAGUGUCUGAGAUUCAAAUUUCUAUCACAAAUUGGUGUGAAAUCACAAUUUUUUUUUGUUGUUUUUGUGUGUCUGGUUUUGUUUUUAAGGUGUCCCCACCCCCUUGCUCAUGUUUUUGGUCGUUUUUAGUUCCUCUUUGGUUUGGAAGAUUUUGCUUCUCUUUUUUCUUAAGGGAAAAUAUUUACAAUGGUUUGUGUGUCCAUACUCGAUCACAGAGAACAGGCAGUUUUGAGAAACCAUGCUAUUCUUACUUUUAGCUUUCUUAAUGUCAACUUGAUUCUAGUUUCCAUCGGAAUUCCAUUUUGGAAAGAACAAGAAAAACCCUGUGUUUUCUUUUGUUUUAAUUAAAAUAUAUUUGACAUGAAACAUUGUGUUAACUUAAGGUGUAAAACAUGUUAUUUGAUACACUUAUGUACUGUAAUAUGAUUACCAUUGUAGUGACAACUAGCACGUCUAUCCCAUUAUGUAAUUAUCCUUUCCUUUUAGUGGUUGUAAUAGUUAAGUUCUAGUCUUUUAGCAAGUUUGAUGAUUACAAUAUAAUAUUGUUGUCUCUAUUCACUAUGCUGUGCAUUAGAUCUCUAAGACAUAUUUACUACUCAUUGCAAAUUGUACCCUUAAACAUCCUCUGCCCCAUCCGCUCACCACCUCCCCGCCCUGAUAACGACCAUUUUACUCUCUGUUUUUACAUGCUUGGCUUUUUGAGAUUCCACAUGUAAAUGAUACCAUGCACUCCUUGUCUUUCUCUGUCUGGCUUAUCUCAAGACUGUUUUCUGAAGAUCAAUGCUUUGAGAAAGAUUUUAAAUGCUUUCACAUCAGAGGGGGAAAUACCAAAAGGAUUUUCUCGUUAUCUAGUAUAAAUUAAUGAGAAAUUCAAUAAAUUUCUUUCCCCUUGAAGACUCCCUUCACUCCUGCUCCUGAAAAAUCACUUUUUUUUCCUCUGUAAGAAGCAUUUUUUUUUUUCCCCAGAGCCUUUCUGAUAUGGGAGAUUAAUAUUUCAUUAUAUAAUUAUAAACACCUGCCUGGGCAGAUGCUUUUCUGUCCCUUGUUAACAUGACUCUUGGGUUAGCCUCUCUGGAAAAGCAGCUUUUAACAAGGAAAUGGCACACGAUGAUGGGAUGUAAAUGCACAAACACCACUCAAAUUAAAGUUCUUGUCAGAAAUAUUUAGAGAGAAAAUGCAUUUCUCUCUCUACUUUAUGCAGUCCCUUUAUUAUCCCAAGUGCUUUUAUGUGUAAGGCUUCAGGAGUCUUUGUCUUUGGUUUACUGCUAUUCUGUCAGGGGAAGAAGUAAUUACAGUCCACUUCAUCUACAAUGGGGAAGUGCAAAUACAUUUCCAAGUGUGUGUCAAAAUCAAAAGCAAGCCCAGAUUUUUGUGGUGUUAAUGGCGUGGUGGUUAAAACUUCAAACACACCUGGGUUAAAUUCCUAAUAGUCCACGUAAUUGCUUUGUGAUCAUGAGCAAGACAGUUAACUGUAAUUUUCCUGUUCCUCAUUUAAAAAUGGAGAUGAUAAUAAUGUACUUGUCCUAGGAUCGUGGUGAGGAUUAAAGAAGAUAUGGCACAGCACAAGUACUAGCUGUUAUUAUCUAUUAUUGUUUUUAAUUCAGGUCUAUACUUUCAUAAUAGAAUAAACUAAUUACUGUUUCUACGUUCACGCUUCUUAAUACAUUCUCAGAUUCCUGCCAGUAGCCCCUGGAUGUGAGAUGCCUAUAUUUUUCCCCUUAAAUCUUUUUUUAUUUCUUACUCCCUUCCACACCCUGUUCUUCAAAGCUGCCUUAGAUUUUGCUUCUCAUUUUGAACUGGCAUUUCUUUUAUCCGUGGGGCCUGCUCUGAAGGACUACUCUUGUUUCUCCUCCCCUAAUGAGAGGUCCCUGGAAUAUCAAGAACAAUGGCCGCCAGGACUCCUUGCAGCUGCCUUCCACCUGUCUGACUGAACACAUUGAGAUCACCAUGCUGGUGACGGUGGCAGAGAUUCUUAUGCUCCCUGGUGAUCUGGUGUUAGUUGAUCACUGUGGGCAAGGAGACCACCUGAGCUCUUUCUUUUCACUUAACAAAAUUAAAAUGACAUGAAUUUCAUUCACAUGGAAAUAAUUUUUAUAUGUGUGAACAGCCACUCACUCAGAGGCCCCAACAUUGUUUUAAUAUGAUUCUUUUCCCCCAACUAUUGUUCCUUGAGCCUUUUUGUGGUAAUUUGCCAGUUCAGAAUAAAAUGGUGGAUCUAUUGAUGAACAAGUCAUGCUUUGUUUAAUAAUUUCAGAGCACACAUUAAGAGCUCAGGAAGAGUUUAUUCUUGUGGUUUGUCCCCAAGUACAACUGGUCAUGAAAUAAUAGCUCUGCUUUACUAGCUUGAUGACAUUCAUCAAGAAAUAGAGCCUAUACAAGCCUCAAUUUAAUAAUCCGUAAGUUACAAAUGAUAAUACUUAUUUGAUAGUAUCAUCUUAAGGAGAAAUGAAGAGAUUGCAUAUGGAAAAUCAUUAUACAUAGUAGGCAAUAUGCACUCUAUUUUCCAUUUUCCCUUUGAAAUGUAUUCCAACACCUUAUUCUGUUAUAAAGUAUAACACUCCUGCACUAUGACAGAGAAGGAUAAUACUCACCACGGAUGUAGAAAAAUCUCAAGAUUUAUAAUUAAAAUAAAAACAUAACGAGAGAGAGGAUUUUUUUCCUUUAUCUUGUUCGUCUCUUUUCUGAAACAUAACAUGGAGCAAUGAUAUUUGCUAUUCAGGGUUGUUAUGAGGCUGAGAAUAUAAAGUGCUUCAUAUAUCGGAAAGUAUCUUAUUAAAGUGUAAUUAUUGCCUGGAAAUUAUAGGAUUAUAUUGUAGUUACUUUUGACUACUAGUUACAAAAUAAAUAAAUAAAUAAGCUAAACGUUAAAGAUAAAGACUAGUUAUUUAAAGCAGUGGAAUGGAUCCCUAAAAUUCAGAUUGAAUUUCAGCACCCAGCUUUACAAAAAUACAAGCCACAGGAAGCAAUUUUGUACAUGUAAGUAGAGUGAACAACCAUAUGGCUUUGCGUGACUUCACUAUGAAUUCUAGGAUUCUAUUAUUCUCUUUUCUUUCUUCCUACUUCAGGUGCUGCUGACUGUUUUUUUAAUAUCUAAGUUUAUGCAUAAUGAAUUAAUCCAUAGGCUAUAUUAUGAGGUUAGCUUCAAAUCAAACACACAGUGAUAACUGCUUAUGGGCUGUACUCAAACACCACUGAAGAUCAUUCAACUUGGUCCUGAGCUCUCCGAAAAAUUGUUCUAACUACCCAAUCUGCUCUAUGGGAAAAUAAAAUUUCUCUCAUCACUUCUUAGUUAUGUGACUUCAGGCAACUAACUCGCAGCUCUUUGUAACUCAUUUCAUCACCUGUAAAACAAGGAUAGAAAGAGUAUCGAAUUUAUGGGUUUGUUGCGGUAAGUAAAUGUACUUAUAUAAUUAAAUUGAUGGGAAAAGUAGCUGGCACAUGAAGUCUUCUAUAAAUAAGAACAUACGGGCAAAUCUAGUAGACAAUUCUUUCCAGGACUGAGAAUUAUAAUAAAUUAUGUUUUUACUUAAUAAUUAAUUGAAUUACAUUUUUUAAAGAAAAAAGUCACACAGUCAACAUGAGUAUGUUCGAUGACUAGAAGACUCUUUGCUAGAAAUUUCUCACCACCAUGUGCUAGACCACCCACAUAAAUCAAAGGAAGUGCCAUCAUCACACUAAGUCACUCAUAAAAAUGCAAAUAUGUCUAGCAGUGCUAAGUGGUGAAAUUCUGUUCUGUUGAAGACUAAAGGUUUAUUUUAUUUGGACAGACAAGACCAAUAUUAGCUCAUUUAACAAAUAUUAGAAUACCAAAAUAGACAAAAAUCAUUAAGAGAACGAUAUAACUUUGUGUACAAUCAAAAAUGAAUGAGUAAGAGCCUACCUUUACCUCACUAUCUUCCAUUUCUCCCUUUUCUCUGCAAUCUUGACUAACUUGAAAACCGAAGCUUUUAUAUUAAACACAAUCCAGAACAUUGAUAAAAUGGAUCUUCCAGAGUUCUGAAAAAUGAAGAGUUUCACAAAAAUGAUUGUAUAUUAAGGGAAGAGAAAGAAUUAGGAGUACCAACUUUGUCCAGAAAACACGAGUCAGCCUCAGGACAAAAUUUUGUGGGGUAUGUACCGACCAUAAUUUUCUCUGUCCUACCCUUCUCCCUAGGGAGCCAUAUCCAAGCCAUAGAAAGGGAAGGUAGUAAAACUAAGUGAGUACAAAGUAUUUGCAACUUUUGGACUAUAUAACUGGCUGUAGCAUGAGCAAGGAUGAGGGGAACAUUUGCUAUUCUUAGAAUAACUAUUUAAGCAUAUUAAAGCUAGACAUGAGGCCAGCCGAUGGCAUUGUGGUUAAGUUUAUGCUCAGCUUCCGCAGCCCAGGGUUCACUGGUUCGGAUCCUGAGAGUGGACCUACACACCACUCAUCAAGACAUGCUAUGGUGGCUUCCCACAGAGAAGAACUAGAAGGACUCACAACCAGAACAUACAACUAUGUACUGGGGCUUUGGGGAGGGAAAAAAAAGAGGAAGAUUGGCAACAGAUGUUAGCUCAGGGUCAAUCAAAAAAACAAAGCUGGACAAACAGUCAUGUGUAGUGAAACAGAGGCAGCGGAGGACAUCACAUAUCAGAGAUUGGAUGACUUGAGACAGCAUCUUAGCCACCAAAGUAGGAAGAGGAGAAGAAAUAGCUUUUGUGGGUGCAUUUACACAUGACUUGGAGACUUUCUGAAAUAGCUAGGAUGGGGAGUGAAACCUGGCCAUGUUGGAAUUCUGAGGUUGGAAAUGAAACAGAUAAACAUAUUUUUAAAAUAUGAUAUUGAUCUAAUAUACUCUAACUAUUGAGCCACAUCCCAGACCAACCACAUCAGAAACUUUGGAAGUGAAGUCUAGCAAUCUGAGUUUGAACAAACCUUCUAGGAGAUGUUGAUGUACACUCAAUAUGAGAACCGGUCAAUCGUACGAUGUUUGGGGUCCUUCAGAAAAUCUUGGUCUAGAAUAGUUGUUCUCAACCAGGGGCUCCCCAGGAGACACUGACAAUGUCUGAAGACGUUUUUGUUGUUGCAGCUGGGGAUGGGAGUGCUACCAACAACAAAUAUGUAGAGGUCAGAGAUGCUGCUAAACAUCCUACAUUGUAUAGGACACUCUCACAACAAAGAAUUAUCUGUCCUAAAAUGUCAAUAACACUAAGUUUGAGAAAUCCUGGUCUAGUACAAUAGUUUUCAAUUUGAAUUUGUAUUGUAAUCAUCUGGGGUGCUUUAAUAUUAUUGCUGUUUGCAUGUCUUUUCAUAGAUUCUUGUUUAUUUGGUAUAGCCCUUAGCCUAGGAAACAUGAGUGGGGAACCACUGGACUAGAAGCUUGGUUUCUUGAAUGCCAUACCUAACACUAGGUCUACAGUUAAUAAAGAAGCUCCCAGACUGAGGAUUUCACAAGCCAGCACUGGUAAGAGGACUUGUAUAUUAGAGAAACCAUUGCCAGAGACAGGUAAACUGAGUGCCAGGGAAGAAAAGAGCAUCACAUUUAAAUUUACUUGCUAAGGCUUUUGAUGAUCACAUGUGCCAGAACUGCUUCUGCUUCAUUCUAUGUUUAUGAUCUGAGUUCAUUUCAGUGGCCUCACCCUUUUACCCUACUACUGUCAAAACUUACAAGCUCAACUACAAAGUCUGGAUCUUAUUGAUUUAACAAACUGUGAUUCUCCAAACAAGCACAUUUGUGAUGUGUUUUCUUUCAUUUUAACCCCUUUAUCUACCAUAUGAGCUCUUAAGGACAAAGGCUAGGUUGCUUUUCCCUUUAUUAGUCCUCUUCUUGGGCUGAGAAGUACACAGGUACCAAGUGAAUGGUUCAGUAAGGAAUUAUUAUUAUGAGGAAACCAGCACUAUGUUCUGAACUCUGAAAGUAGUGUAGUCCAGGUGGAAAAGACUGGGCUGGGGACAGUGAUGCAUCUGGGUUUGAAAUCCAUUUCCAUUGAUUACUAGAUUUGGACGAGGAAAUUAACCUUUCUGUGCCUUGGUUCCUUCGUUGGUAAUAGCUACUCUUUAGAACUGUUGACGUAAUUAAAUGAGAUUAAACACAGGAUGCAUCCGGCACAGGGCUUGGAAUAUGGUGACUUCAUCAAUAGUAGCUUAUAGAUAUUAUCAGAUGUUUCAGGAGAUUUUGUUUUUAUAUCUUCAAAUCUAGUCCCCUCUAAAUAAAGGCCCUAAACCUAAUUGUUUAUUUCAAAAUCAUUCACUGGUCUUGAAUUUCUUAAACUAUCCACACUAAGUAAGUACAUUUAAACAUUGCAGAAGGAAAUGAAUACCACUCCAAUGAAACUAAGCAAAGGCUCUUUAUUCAAAGCUUGCCAGAGCAAAGGAGUCAGCCUGCAUCACUUGGUUUUCGCAGAGAAUCAAAGGCAAAUAGUGGAGAGGGAAAGCUUUAGGACAGACAAAAGAGAAAGCUUCAGGUAUUCCCUGAUUGGAGGCUGUUCACAUGAGGAAGCUGGAGGCAGGAUGACUAGAAUUGAGGCAUCCUGUGUGAUUGGUUACUGAAGUAUAUUUGGCUUUUUCUGAUUGAUUGGUCCUAAGUAGAAAGUUCGGGGGUGGAAUUAGGGAAGCUGACAGUUAUUGAUUAAGUCCUGGCCAUUUUGGGUCAAUUGCUAUAGAGGUUGUGGUCUGGCUUCCUGAUCUGUGAAUUGACUUUCUCUGCUGGUUCCUGCAGGUUGUGGUUCAGAGUUCUGUUUUAGUACACGAUCUGGGCCUUGUCUAGUUGUAUAUUUAGUCUCAGCAUAAGGAGUGGGGAUGGUUGUAGUAAAUAAGGCCAAUCUCAAGUAGAAGUGGCUGCAUAUCUAGUUAGAUGCUAAAGCUUUUACUGCAAAAAACAUUUCCCAAUACCUAAAGUUCUUUUAAAGUUGAGCUCUGUGUUAAAAUUCAAGCUAAUUAACUUUGAGGCAAUUAUUUGGUUUGAACCCUAAACUUUAUGCUUAUUUAAUCUUCACAGCUUCUUGCUCAAAUUUAAGGGUUACGUUGGCACCUACUUACAUCACAGACACACAUUUUCAUGUACCCAUGCUCACCAACUAUGCCCUUCAUUUUUAUCCACCCAUGAAUAGUCAUAAAUUUACAUGGAUAAUGUAAACACUGAAUAAAAACGUCUGCUUAAGCUUUCAAGUGCUACUUUCAAUGUUUAAGAUUUAUAAGUCCUAAUUUAUUUCUUUAGAAAAAGAAAUGAGUGAGUAAUUCCUGUAUCACACCAGUCUGAGGAUACAAAAUAAUGGCAAUAAAAUGCUGCUAUGCUCCUUAUCUCGAUCAUCACAAUUGAGGGGGUCUUUAGCAGUGCUAACUUCUCCAAAUUAGUUCUGAAAGUCUCCAGGAGCUAACUUCAAGGUGGAUACACUCCCCUUUGGCUCCUCUGGUAUUCACCAUUUUCUCUGUCCCACUCUUGAUGCUGGCUUGAUGGAAUACCAUCCUCCUUUAUUUUAUCAAAGCUUCACAAAGCAGGCUUGCCUUUUACUCUCAUUUCAGAGGUAACAGCAUCUUACACUUUCACUGCAGACACUCGGACCCAGGCCUGAAUCCCUGAGGACUUGAAACAGGAAGAAACCUUUGGAGUAGGAGUGUUAUGGACAUUUGAAAGGAGAAUCCUAAGAAGCAUGGAACUUAAUAUGUGGUUGGUAAGGAAUGGUGGGCACAAGGAACUGUGAGGAAAAACAAACAGUUGCAGAAAAAGCAGGAGCUAUACCAAGAACUGUGAAGAUUCGUCAGAAUAAGGGGUCACAUUCAAUCACCAGGAGACCCAGCACCUGAGAGGAGCGCUGUGGAAGACGGGAAGAAGGAGAAUAUCAUAAAUCAAUGCAUGGAAGCAUUCAACCAAAGGGAAGACCUGCUCCACACAGAGAACAGCGCUGGGAAUUGAAUCUUACGAUAAAGAAAAAGAAGACCUGCAAACUUCUUUCUCUUGUGUCUCUGACAGCUGAUGGAGAGAUGGAAACCCUCAUUGUCAUUUGGCCCUAACCAAGCCUAACAGAAAGCCUAUCACUUGGGGAAUCCAAAAAUGUCUUUAAAUUUUUGUCAAAUAUGUGUUCAGAAGAGGAAUCACCACCAGCCAUUCCCAGAGAGAAAUGUUGGUUGUUGAUUCCCGUCUCCGCAGGGUGUCAGCUGCAUUUGGAACAGAGCCUCAGGAGGAACAGCAAGGAAAGCUCUUUUUUGCUUUUGCAGGUCUAUGACUGCUCCCUACCAGCUCAGAAGGAAAUUCCAUGCAGAAUACUAAAUGAGAUCUCUGUUCUCUCGCCAUUUUGUACUCUGCAUUGUCGUUGUCGUGUUUGGCUAUUGCUUGCUGUAGUAACCAAGGCAUUGCAGCCCGAACAGUGUUUCUACAGAGAAGAUGAUCAAUGACAUACAGGACAUAGUCACCAGCAACCACGCUUCUUGAAAUCUAGGAUCCCACGAAUUGUAAGAAGCAUAAAUUCAUGUAAAAUUAAAAAACAGUGGAAAAAAAGAAAGAAAAAUGCUGCCAAUCAAUCUACAAAAUGUCAUCAAUUCUAAGACUCAUCACAGUUUCAGAGAAUUAAAAUAUGAAAACGUCUUUGAAUUGCUAAAAUAUAAUAAAUUGUUCCUCUCAAAUCCUGAGUGAGUUGUUUAGCUGUAUAGAUGAUAUGACAGAAUCAGACUGGCAAGAGGGAAAAUUGAAUUAUAAAAGUAAAUAGUCAGCUUCUAUUUUUAAGAUAUCCUCUACAAGGCAAAUAGAACUCACCACAAUGAGAAGUUGUGAAGCCAAUUGAAUCGACAAAACCUCCCCAUCUCAUAUUCCUUCCUCACUUAGUUCCUAACCAUCUCUCCUAUAAUAAGGAGAAAUCCACAUUUUACCAAGAUUCCCAGGUGAUUCUUGUGCACAAUAAAAUUUGAGAUGUGCCAGCCUAGAACAUACAAUGCACUGUCCCUAAAUGGAGUAAGAUGUGUGAUGACCCUCUAAUAGCUGGUGAAAGAAUGGGAACUGCUUUGUUUUGUGAAAUAAUACAAUCUACUUAGAAGUAAUGAAUUCAUAGUAUUUCCAACAGCUCAUUGGAGAACAUAAUUAAAUGUCAAAACCUUGAUGGAAUAAAAGAUCCUGUUUGUCUCCCUCCCCUGAAGACUAUUUUGAGUUACACAGUUGCAUAUUCGGAAAAAAAAAUCAAUCUUAUAAGAGGGCUUUGCUUUAAGUAUAAAAAUAUUGUAGUGAGGGGUUUUAUUCAAGUACAUAUAAAAAAGUCAUGUAUUCCAGAAGCAAAAAUUAUGUACAUAUCGUACCCAUACAUUUAAUUAGUCAUUGUAUUUGGUGUACAAAUGGCCUUACAGUUUAGGAGACAAAUAAAAAGUAUGCUUUUGCUUGUUCUUAUUUUUGAUCAAUCAAAAUAGUGAAAGUGCUUCCUGUGUUUUACUUCUAUAUUUUGAAGAGCGGGAAUACAUCCACUCCAUUUUGAUCUGAUUAAAUGUCUCAGGUUAUUUUAAACCUCUCUCAUCUCUCACUCCUUUCUGGCUUUUUCGCCAUUUCUCUUACAAUCAAGGGAAAUAGAGACAGUUAAAAGAAAAUUG
Molecule: long non-coding RNA, 9690 nt
Filed under: Equus caballus (horse)
Lineage: Eukaryota; Metazoa; Chordata; Mammalia; Perissodactyla; Equidae
Description: lncRNA (ENSECAG00000050752.1)
Source: RNAcentral